GUCCAGAUUCAAUUUGGGCCAUUGGGCUCAUUUGGGCCAUUGGGCCAUUGGGCUCAUAUUUUCUUAUGUGUGUGUGUGUGUGUAUGUGUGUGUGUGUGGGAAAAGAAUCAUUUGUUUGAUCCAAAUUUUAAAUUAUACAUUCUUUUCAUCCUAAUGAACAAUCACUAAAAAGAAAAUUUUGAAAACACAAUCGAAAAAGUAAUUUUUUAGCCUAAUUAACAUAAGCCAUCCAUUUUGAUAAGAUGCUUAGAUUUAGGCCUUAGAAGGAUUUUUAUUUUCCAAUUUUUUUUAGAUGCCUUUAGUAUCAUCUGAUGAACAAUAAAAAAGAAAAAUAUAAUUUUGAGUUUGUAAAAGUUAAGAUCUUGAAAUUCACCAAAUUAAUGGUUUAGAGUCGUUGUUGGAGGG
RNAcentral lists this long non-coding RNA (405 nucleotides) under Amborella trichopoda. Its description in RNAcentral is "long non-coding RNA (ATRI_LNC002407)". The record is from RNAcentral. Lineage: Eukaryota; Viridiplantae; Streptophyta; Magnoliopsida; Amborellales; Amborellaceae.